This 1485-nucleotide ribosomal RNA is filed under the name Triticum aestivum (bread wheat). RNAcentral's name for it is "partial small subunit ribosomal RNA". The record is from RNAcentral. Lineage: Eukaryota; Viridiplantae; Streptophyta; Magnoliopsida; Poales; Poaceae.
AUGACCAACAUACCGUUUGAGCUGUACAAGACCCAGACAACUGUUGCAGUUUCCAGGGAGGAGUUCCUGGAUGUCGUGUGUGAUGCACUCACCCUGUACAAGUAUGUCGGGCCCAAUCAGAGGGCCGGCUUGCUUCUUGCCUGCAGGAUAAAGGAGAGGAAAGAAUCAGUAACAGUACUGUUGUGUGGCACAAGUGGAUGCGGCAAGUCCGCUCUAUCAUCUUUGUUGGGUAACAGGUUGGGUAUCACCACCAUAGUUUCUACUGACUCUAUACGGCACAUGAUGAGGAGUUUCGUUGAAGAAAAAGAAAACCCUCUGCUCUACGCAUCAACCUACCACGCAGGAGAUUAUCUAGACCCUGUUCCGGUUGCGCAAGCAAAGGCAAGACACAAGGCAAAGAAACUCUCUGUUAUUUCUCAUUCAGAUGCUGACGGAGGCAAAGAUGGCGGUACUUCAGAUCAGAAGUGUAACGGUACAUCCGAAGUUCCCAGUAAAAAGCAGAUGGCCAUAGAAGGGUACAAAGCGUAGAGUGAGAUGAUCAUUGGCAGCCUCGACAGAUUUAUUACGACCUGGGAGGAGCGGAAAGAAUCUUUGAUUGUAGAAGGGGUUCAUUUAAGCCUGAAUUUUGUGAUGGGGCUGAUGAAGAAACAUCCCUCAGUGAUACCAUUUAUGGUAUACAUCAUGAACAAGGAGAAGCACAUGGAACGGUUUGCGGUCCGCGCAAAGUACAUGACGCUUGACCCGGCGAAGAACAGAUACGUUAAAUACAUCCAGAACAUCAGAGCGAUCCAGGAGUACCUGUGCAACCGGGCCGACAAGCAUCAAGUGCCAAAAAUCAACAAAACCGAUGUAGACUGGAACAUGGCGGCCAUACACGCCAGGUUUUCAUGCCUUCGCCGGCGUGAGGCCGGGGAGCAGUUUUAUGACUCGCAUACAAACACUGCAGUUAUGGUGGAUGAGGAGUAUAGGAGCCAGUGCGCCGCAAACUCGUUGAGUUCCAAGGGCAUGUUUCAGUUGAUUCAGAGGCAAGGGUCCUCUAGAAAUCUGAUGGCUCUGCUUAACACUGAUGGUUCAGUUGCUAAGGCAUGGCCCAUGCAUGCCGGCGACAGCAGUGGAAACAUGAAUGAUGGCACAGGCAGUGAGAAAUCUGUUGGAAAUCCUAUGUAUGGCCCUUUGCAAAUAGGGAAGGCAGAGCCUGUCAAUCUUCAGUUUGGCCCGUUUGGGAUUGGUGCGUGGCCAAGUGAUACCGGAUGCGCCAGUCAUGCUGGGAGUGUCGAUGACUCCAAGGCUGAUGGCACAGAUACAGGGAGCGGGUAUUUAUCCUCGUGUUGCAGCUCACCGAAGAUGUCAGAUGACAAUUCCAAUGAGCUUGUGGAUGAGUAUUCAGUGUCUGACAGUGAAGAAGAAGAGUGUGAUGGUGAUGCUGAUGCAGAGACUAAUGAGGAUCUAACUGACGAAGAAAAGGACAUCCAAGAGGUAGUGUAA